AGGCUCAUGCCCGUGUUCUUUUUGACUUCUGUGGAGGGUGGAUUUUUGCUUGGGUCUUUCUCACUUUCUUUCAUUUGUUUGUGCCCUUUCAGUCUUGCUUCGGAUUUCUAACUGUUUUGCUCUCUUGAGAUUCAUUUGGAGUAUCAUUGAACUUGAAUGAAAGGACUGUUUAUUGAACCGAGGUUUAGGACAUCAGUGAACUUGAAUGAAGCAAUCGCUUAUUCAACCAAGCUUUAGGACAUCAGGUCAGGUUCAAGGGGCCAUAUUCUAUUGAAACAUGUUUUUGAAUGUGAAUGCUAUUUGUAAAGCACAUGUUUCGCCGUAAUUUUCCUACCGUUCAUGCAUAUUUCUUUUUUUUAAAACUCUUACGUUUUUCCUCAUGAGGUUUUGUGGAGCAGUUGGUUCCUAGUUAUUUUCUUCUUGUUUUUUUCUAUUGACUUUUUGCCUAUAGGCGUGCAGCCAAAAUCAACACUCUGCAAUGAGUGACCUCUCCUUCAGUGAUCGCAAGAAUAAUUUUUCUCUCACAAAUUUUGCU
Molecule: long non-coding RNA, 535 nt
Organism: Theobroma cacao (cacao)
Lineage: Eukaryota; Viridiplantae; Streptophyta; Magnoliopsida; Malvales; Malvaceae
Source: RefSeq, a predicted model, not a curated record